GAGUUUGAUUAUGGCUCAGGACGAACGCUGGCGGCGUGCCUAAUACAUGCAAGUCGAACGAACGGAAGUUAGAAUUUGUUCUAAUGGAAGUGAGUGGCGAACGGGUGAGUAACACGUGGGUAACCUACCUUUAAGCGGGGGAUAACAGUGGGAAACGACUGCUAAUACCGCAUAGGACAUAGCGUCACAUGACGCAGUGAGGAAAGACGGUUUCGGCUGUCACUUAGAGAUGGACCCGCGGUGCAUUAGCUAGUUGGUAAGGUAACGGCUUACCAAGGCGAUGAUGCAUAGCCGACCUGAGAGGGUGAUCGGCCACAUUGGGACUGAGACACGGCCCAAACUCCUACGGGAGGCAGCAGUAGGGAAUCUUCCGCAAUGGACGAAAGUCUGACGGAGCAACGCCGCGUGAGUGAAGAAGGUCUUCGGAUCGUAAAGCUCUGUUGUUAGAGAAGAAGAGUUAUGGGAGUAACUGCCCAUAAUG
This 481-nucleotide ribosomal RNA is filed under the name Abiotrophia sp. canine oral taxon 229. RNAcentral's name for it is "bacterial SSU rRNA". It matches the Rfam family "Bacterial small subunit ribosomal RNA", at positions 9 to 471 of the family's 1533-position model. The record is from RNAcentral. Lineage: Bacteria; Bacillati; Bacillota; Bacilli; Lactobacillales; Aerococcaceae.